AUCCUGUCAUGGCAGAUGCCCUAACUAUGAAGGUGGUUUUCCCAGGGCGAGGCUUAUUGAUCACAUUCCUGAUUUACUAACCCCUGAGCUUUUCCCAGAUGUGGGAAACUCAACUGCAUAAUUUGUGGUAGUGGAGGCUAUGUUUGUACUUGCCCCUA
Myotis lucifugus (little brown bat) is the source of this 158-nucleotide small nuclear RNA. Its record names the gene U1. It matches the Rfam family "U1 spliceosomal RNA". From Rfam's summary of the family: U1 is a small nuclear RNA (snRNA) component of the spliceosome (involved in pre-mRNA splicing). Its 5' end forms complementary base pairs with the 5' splice junction, thus defining the 5' donor site of an intron. The record is from Ensembl. Lineage: Eukaryota; Metazoa; Chordata; Mammalia; Chiroptera; Vespertilionidae.